RNAcentral lists this ribosomal RNA (470 nucleotides) under Pseudechinus magellanicus. Its description in RNAcentral is "partial 12S ribosomal RNA". It matches the Rfam family "Bacterial small subunit ribosomal RNA", at positions 842 to 1533 of the family's 1533-position model. Lineage: Eukaryota; Metazoa; Echinodermata; Echinoidea; Temnopleuroida; Temnopleuridae. The record is from RNAcentral.
UAUACUUACGGUAAACAAACUAAGCACCAGAGAAUUACGAGCCAAAAGCUUAAAACUCAAAGGACUUGGCGGUUUUCCAAAUCUUCCUGGAGGAGCUUGCCAUUAAAUCGAUAAUCCACGAAAUACCUCACCACUCCUUGUAAUAAACAGCUUGUAUACCAUCGUCGUAAGUCUACUUCCCGAGAAAGUUGACUUUAAGGAGGACCCCCAGACGUCAGAUCAAGGUGCAGCCAAUGGAGCGGCAAUCGGUGAGCUACAAUGUCUGAUAAAGCCAGUGGAAGUAGGAAUGAAAAACCUUGCCGAAAUUGGAUUCAGUAGUAGUGCCCCAAAAGAAAAAGAGCACGAAAAGAGCUCUGGAAUGCGUACACAUCGCCCGUCACUCUCGCCUAGCUUACAAUUAAGCAAGGGGAGAAAAGUCGUAACACAAUAGGCUCACCGGAAGGUGAGCCUGGAGAAUGCCCCUAUAGUUG